AUUACAAGAUUGUGAUAAGAUGACAUUUCUGAGUAUUGAGCGGAACAAAUCAGACCGUAAGGUUAUAAUUAUGUA
Molecule: ribosomal RNA, 75 nt
Filed under: Plasmodium falciparum 3D7
Lineage: Eukaryota; Apicomplexa; Aconoidasida; Haemosporida; Plasmodiidae
Description: Plasmodium falciparum rRNA RNA4
Source: RNAcentral